AUUUGAGAUAGAACGCAUAAACACAGUAAAUAGAAAAAGGGAAAGAAGGGAUCUCUUCACUGUAUAUAGAUCUGAAUGAAACUCUCAAGAACAAUGGAUGAAUAGCUUAUAUCUCUCACAAUAGGGUUGGCAAAGAACUUGAUAAAAGACUUGAUAAAAGAAACUUAGGUCUAAAAACAAUAUAUAUAGACCCUAAAGACGUCAGGGGACUAAUAAUGCAAAAACGGAAAUCUUCUGGGGCAAACUUGAGCUUCUGUAAACUCGAAAGCGUCUAGGUUUUUGCUGGGCCGAAACUGGUGUCGAUCGACACCAAGAGUGUGUCGAUCGACACUCCUCGCUGAUUCCUGAACCAAAAUCGUCCUUAGCUUCCUUUUCCUUAGCUUUUGCUCCAAAAUGUCUCCUUAUCUCCAUAUAUAUAUACUUACCUGAAAAUUGGAAU
RNAcentral lists this small RNA (439 nucleotides) under Arabidopsis thaliana (thale cress). Its description in RNAcentral is "ATSL205350". Lineage: Eukaryota; Viridiplantae; Streptophyta; Magnoliopsida; Brassicales; Brassicaceae. The record is from RNAcentral.